CCUACGGGAGGCAGCAGUGAGGAAUAUUGGUCAAUGGGCUUACGCCUGAACCAGCCAAGUCGCGUGAGGGAAGACUGCCCUAUGGUUUGUAAACCUCUUUUGUCAGGGAGCAACGCCGGCUACGUGUAGCCGGACUGAGAGUACCUGAAGAAAAAGCAUCCGCUAACUCCGUGCCAGCAGCCGCGGUAAUACGUAGGUGGCGAGCGUUAUCCGGAAUGAUUGGGCGUAAAGGGUGCGCAGGCGGUCCUGCAAGUCUUGAGUGAAACGCAUGUGCUCAACUCAUGCAUGGCUUUGGAAACUGGAUGACUGGAGAGAAGGAGAGGGCGGUGGAAUUCCAUGUGUAGCGGUAAAAUGCGUAGAUAUAUGGAAGAACACCAGUGGCGAAGGCGGCCGCCUGGCCUGUUGCUGACGCUGAGGCACGAAAGCGUGGGGAGCAAAUAGGAUUAGAUACCCGAGUAGUC
Molecule: ribosomal RNA, 461 nt
Filed under: uncultured bacterium
Lineage: Bacteria
Description: partial 16S ribosomal RNA
Rfam family: Bacterial small subunit ribosomal RNA
Source: RNAcentral